AUACGUAGGGGGCGAGCGUUGUCCGGAAUGAUUGGGCGUAAAGGGCGCGUAGGCGGCGCGGUAAGUCUGGAGUGAAAGUCCUGCUUUCAAGGUGGGAAUUGCUUUGGAUACUGCCGCGCUUGAGUGCAAGAGAGGUUAUCGGAAUUCCCGGUGUAGCGGUGAAAUGCGUAGAGAUCGGGAGGAACACCAGUGGCGAAGGCGGGUAACUGGACUGCAACUGACGCUGAGGCGCGAAAGUGUGGGGAGCAAACAGGAUUAGAUACCCUGGUAGUCCACACUGUAAACGAUGAAUGCUAGGUGUAAGAGGUAUCGACCCCUUUUGUGCCGGAGUCAACACAAUAAGCAUUCCGCCUGGGGAGUACGGCCGCAAGGUUGAAACUCAAAUGAAUUGGCGGG
This 396-nucleotide ribosomal RNA is filed under the name uncultured bacterium. RNAcentral describes it as "partial 16S ribosomal RNA". It matches the Rfam family "Bacterial small subunit ribosomal RNA", at positions 523 to 917 of the family's 1533-position model. The record is from RNAcentral.